Molecule: ribosomal RNA, 497 nt
Filed under: uncultured bacterium
Lineage: Bacteria
Description: partial 16S ribosomal RNA
Rfam family: Bacterial small subunit ribosomal RNA
Source: RNAcentral
GAUGAACGCUGGCGGCGUGCCUAAUACAUGCAAGUCGAGCGAACGGACGAGAAGCUUGCUUCUCUGAUGUUAGCGGCGGACGGGUGAGUAACACGUGGAUAACCUACCUAUAAGACUGGGAUAACUUCGGGAAACCGGAGCUAAUACCGGAUAAUAUUUUGAACCGCAUGGUUCAAAAGUGAAAGACGGUCUUGCUGUCACUUAUAGAUGGAUCCGCGCUGCAUUAGCUAGUUGGUAAGGUAACGGCUUACCAAGGCAACGAUGCAUAGCCGACCUGAGAGGGGGGGGGGCCACACGGAAAGUGUGACCGGACCCAGACUCCAAGGGGAGGCAGCAGGGGGGAGUCUUCGGAAAGGGGCGAAAGCUUGACGGGACAAGGCGGCGGGGGGGAUAAGGGUCUUAGGAUAAUAAAACUAUUUUAUUGGGGAAAAAAAAAUGUGAAAGGAACGGUGCCCUCCUAGCGGGACCCUAAUAAGAAGGCCAGGCAUAACUCCGAC